AGCGAACGCUGGCGGCAGGCUUAACACAUGCAAGUCGAACGGGCACUUCGGUGCUAGUGGCAGACGGGUGAGUAACACGUGGGAACGUACCUUUCGGUUCGGAAUAAUCCAGGGAACUUGGACUAAUACCGGAUACGCCCUUCGGGGGAAAGAAUCAUCGCCGAUAGAUCGGCCCGCGUCUGAUUAGCUAGUUGGUGAGGUAAUUGCUCACCAACGCGACGAUCAGUAGAUGGUGUGAGAGGAUGAUCCGCCACAUUGAGACUGAGACACGGCCCGAACUCCUACGGGAGGCAGGAGUGGGGAAUAUUGGACCAUGGGCGCAAGCCUGAUCCAGCCCGGCCGCGUGAGUGAUGAAGGCCUUAGGGUUGUAAAGCUCUUUUGUCCGGGAAGAUAAUGACUGUACCGGAAGAAUAAGCCCCGGCUAACUUCGUG
Molecule: ribosomal RNA, 432 nt
Filed under: uncultured bacterium
Lineage: Bacteria
Description: partial 16S ribosomal RNA
Rfam family: Bacterial small subunit ribosomal RNA
Source: RNAcentral